Molecule: long non-coding RNA, 1166 nt
Organism: Helianthus annuus (common sunflower)
Lineage: Eukaryota; Viridiplantae; Streptophyta; Magnoliopsida; Asterales; Asteraceae
Exons: 3
Source: RefSeq, a predicted model, not a curated record
ACCCAUAUCUGGGCGUGGAACGAUCGAACAGAAAGGAGAAAGAAAGGGGUGAAACCCUAAUUCAUGAGCAGACCUUCAAAUUGAAAAGGGAAUUGAAGCCUAGUUGAAUGCAUGAACUAAGAAUGAUGAUCCUCUAAGCAUACCCAACAUCAAGAACGUGUCAAGGAGAGGUCAAGCAUAGGAGGAUAACGGAUCAAGAUAAGGCAAGGUGACAAAUACACUUAUUGGAGUACUCGAGGUAAGUGAAUUUCGAUUCACUUUUUAGUAGGUUUAAUAGAUUUUAAUACUUAUGUUUACGAAACAUCAUGAAAGAACAUGUAAUAAUCAGAAGUACAAAGCCAAUAAUGCCUCAUUAUUGAAGAAGGUUGUAUUUAAGCCGAAAGUAAAUUGGUGGGUUUAAACGGGUCGAAUUUUAUAUGCAUAUGUUGCGUAAUGUAAUGAAAUUCGUUAUGGUUAAGACCUUGGGUAAGAAUUUUUAGUCAUUAUGUAAGGGGAACAUUUCCCGGACCAUUAGGAACAAGUUUUAUAUGAUUCGGUUGUCGGUUAGUGAAUGAACGGAUUGUUUCGUGUUAGUGUAGGAAAUUUUAUAAGUAUAUGUGUAUAGGAAUCCAAAGGGCACGUGGGUUGAAUCAUGGAUUGUCUAUACUAUGUAAAGUUGUGAAUGUGACAUUCCGGCAUAAACCUACAUGUAAAAGAAGCUUGUGUAUAUAUUCGUGAUUAAUUGAUUGUGCGUAGGAAGGAACAUUGGCAUGUAUGAAGGUACGCAUGUAUAUAUAUAAGUGUAUAUAUAUAUGUAUGUAUGUAUGAUAAUAAGUACGUAAGUGUGAAUGUAUGUGUGAAUGAAUGUUCAAUGCUUAAGACAUAUGCAUGAACGUUAUCAAAGUGUUCGAGUAUUUAUGGUUACUAAUGAUGUGCGUUGAGUUGGAAUGUAAUGUAGUUAUGGGAUCGUUGGCUUCAUGAAGAAAUGGAGCUGGAUUUGGAUAAGAGUAUCGCUUGGGUUUUCUCUACAUUUAUUGAAGUGAAGCGGACUUAGUUCGAGUUGAGAGCAAGGAUUGUACGGGGUAGAAUGGUCACAUAGUGUAACUCAUAUAGGUUUUGAAGUAUUAAUGUUAUAAAACAUUAUAAAUCCGUUUUAAUGAAUAUAUGGUAUUUCGCAUUUGAACCUU